Molecule: small RNA, 30 nt
Filed under: Bombyx mori (domestic silkworm)
Lineage: Eukaryota; Metazoa; Arthropoda; Insecta; Lepidoptera; Bombycidae
Description: ovarian small RNA-14872
Source: RNAcentral
CUGACUGCGAUCACCUCCUAAACCCAGAUA